Molecule: ribosomal RNA, 429 nt
Filed under: Gemmatimonadota bacterium
Lineage: Bacteria; Pseudomonadati; Gemmatimonadota
Description: Gemmatimonadetes bacterium partial 16S ribosomal RNA
Rfam family: Bacterial small subunit ribosomal RNA
Source: RNAcentral
UAGGGAAUCUUCGGCAAUGGACGAAAGUCUGACCGAGCAACGCCGCGUGAGUGAAGAAGGUUUUCGGAUCGUAAAACUCUGUUGUUAGAGAAGAACAAGGACGUUAGUAACUGAACGUCCCCUGACGGUAUCUAACCAGAAAGCCACGGCUAACUACGUGCCAGCAGCCGCGGUAAUACGUAGGUGGCAAGCGUUGUCCGGAUUUAUUGGGCGUAAAGCGAGCGCAGGCGGUUUCUUAAGUCUGAUGUGAAAGCCCCCGGCUCAACCGGGGAGGGUGAUUGGAAACUGGGGGACUUGAGUGCAGAAGAGGAGAGUGGAAUUCCAUGUGUAGCGGUGAAAUGCGUAGAUAUAUGGAGGAACACCAGUGGCGAAGGCGGCUCUCUGGUCUGUAACUGACGCUGAGGCUCGAAAGCGUGGGGAGCAAACAGG